AUUGAACGCUGGCGGCAGGCCUAACACAUGCAAGUCGAACGAGUGGCGGACGGGUGAGUAAUGUCUGGGAAACUGCCUGAUGGAGGGGGAUAACUACUGGAAACGGUAGCUAAUACCGCAUACCAUCAGAUGUGCCCAGAUGGGAUUAGCUAGUUGGUGGGGUAACGGCUCACCAAGGCGACGAUCCCUAGCUGGUCUGAGAGGAUGACCAGCCACACUGGAACUGAGACACGGUCCAGACUCCUACGGGAGGCAGCAGUGGGGAAUCUUGGGCAAUGGGCGCAAGCCUGAUGCAGCCAUGCCGCGUGUAUGAAGAAGGCCUUCGGGUUGUAAAGUUCUUUCGGUGGAGAGGCGUUACCUACAGAGGAAGCACCGGCUAACUCCGUGCCAGCAGCCGCGGUAAUUC
Molecule: ribosomal RNA, 406 nt
Filed under: uncultured bacterium
Lineage: Bacteria
Description: partial 16S ribosomal RNA
Rfam family: Bacterial small subunit ribosomal RNA
Source: RNAcentral